UACGUAGGGUCCGAGCGUUGUCCGGAAUUACUGGGCGUAAAGAGCUCGUAGGUGGUUUGUCGCGUUGUUCGUGAAAACUCACAGCUUAACUGUGGGCGUGCGGGCGAUACGGGCAGACUAGAGUACUGCAGGGGAGACUGGAAUUCCUGGUGUAGCGGUGGAAUGCGCAGAUAUCAGGAGGAACACCGGUGGCGAAGGCGGGUCUCUGGGCAGUAACUGACGCUGAGGUGCGAAAGCGUGGGGAGCAAACAGG
RNAcentral lists this ribosomal RNA (253 nucleotides) under uncultured bacterium. RNAcentral's name for it is "partial 16S ribosomal RNA". It matches the Rfam family "Bacterial small subunit ribosomal RNA", at positions 524 to 776 of the family's 1533-position model. The record is from RNAcentral.